Molecule: transfer RNA, 72 nt
Filed under: Ovis aries (sheep)
Lineage: Eukaryota; Metazoa; Chordata; Mammalia; Artiodactyla; Bovidae
Rfam family: tRNA
About the family: Transfer RNA (tRNA) molecules are approximately 80 nucleotides in length. Their secondary structure includes four short double-helical elements and three loops (D, anti-codon, and T loops). Further hydrogen bonds mediate the characteristic L-shaped molecular structure. tRNAs have two regions of fundamental functional importance: the anti-codon, which is responsible for specific mRNA codon recognition, and the 3' end, to which the tRNAs corresponding amino acid is attached (by aminoacyl-tRNA synthetases). tRNAs cope with the degeneracy of the genetic code in two manners: having more than one tRNA (with a specific anti-codon) for a particular amino acid; and 'wobble' base-pairing, i.e. permitting non-standard base-pairing at the 3rd anti-codon position.
Source: Rfam by way of RNAcentral
UCCCUGAUGUCCAGUGGUGAGGACUCCACACUUUCACUGUCGAGAGCCUGAGUUCAACUCCUGGUCAGGGAA